CCUACGGGUGGCAGCAGUGAGGAAUAUUGGUCAAUGGGCGGAAGCCUGAACCAGCCAAGUAGCGUGCAGGAUGACGGCCCUACGGGUUGUAAACUGCUUUUAUACGGGAAUAACGCGCCUUACGUGUAGGGCUUUGCAUGUACCGUAUGAAUAAGGACCGGCUAAUUCCGUGCCAGCAGCCGCGGUAAUACGGAAGGUCCGGGCGUUUCCGGAUUUAUUGGGGUUAAAGGGAGCGUAGGCCGCAUGUCAAGCGUGCUGUGAAAUGUCCGGGCUCAACCCGGGCCUUGCAGCGCGAACUGGCGUGCUUGAGUCCGCGGAAAGCAGGCGGAAUUCGUCGUGUAGCGGUGAAAUGCUUAGAUAUGACGAAGAACCCCGAUUGCGAAGGCAGCUUGCUGCAGCGGAACUGACGCUGAUGCUCGAAAGCGCGGGUAUCGAACAGGAUUAGAUACCCCAGUAGUC
This 459-nucleotide ribosomal RNA is filed under the name uncultured bacterium. Its description in RNAcentral is "partial 16S ribosomal RNA". It matches the Rfam family "Bacterial small subunit ribosomal RNA", at positions 338 to 795 of the family's 1533-position model. The record is from RNAcentral.